GAUGAACGCUAGCGGAGGCUUAACACAUGCAAGUCGAGGGGCAGCAUAGGGUAGCAAUACUCUGAUGGCGACCGGCAAACGGGUGAGUAACGCGUAUGCAACCUACCCUGUACAGGGGGAUAACCCGGAGAAAUUCGGACUAAUAUCCCGUAAUAAUAUCCGGAGGCAUCUUUGGAUAUUUAAAGUUCCGACGGUACGGGAUGGGCAUGCGUAACAUUAGCUGGUUGGUAAAGUAACGGCUUACCAAGGCUAUGAUGUUUAGGGGUCCUGAGAGGGUGGUCCCCCACACUGGUACUGAGACACGGACCAGACUCCUACGGGAGGCAGCAGUGAGGAAUAUUGGUCAAUGGGCGCAAGCCUGAACCAGCCAUCCCGCGUGCAGGAAGACGGCCCUAUGGGUUGUAAACUGCUUUUCCAGGGAGAGAAACUUACGCACGUGUUGCGUGACUGACGGUACCCUGGGAAUAAGCAUCGGCUAACUCCGUGCCAGCAGCCGCGUAAACACGAGAGUA
RNAcentral lists this ribosomal RNA (512 nucleotides) under uncultured bacterium. RNAcentral's name for it is "bacterial SSU rRNA". It matches the Rfam family "Bacterial small subunit ribosomal RNA", at positions 28 to 533 of the family's 1533-position model. The record is from RNAcentral.